CGAAUCAUUCACAAUGGGCGAAAGCCUGAUGGUGCGACGCCGCGUGGGGGACGAAGGUCUUCGGAUUGUAAACCCCUGUCACCGGGGACAAAAAGCAAAUGGCCAAUACCCAUUUGCCUGAUUUAACCCGGAGAGGAACCCGUGGCUAACUCUGUGCCAGCAGCCGCGGUAAUACAGAGACUGCAAGCGUUGUUCGGAUUUACUGGGCGUAAAGGGUGCGCAGGCGGCCGGGUGUGUCGGGUGUGAAAUUUCGAGGCUCAACCUCGAGACUGCGCCCGAAACUAUCCGGCUAGAGUACUGGAGAGGGAAGCGGAAUUCACGGUGUAGCAGUGAAAUGCGUAGAUAUCGUGAGGAACACCAAUGGCGAAGGCAGCUUCCUGGACAGUUACUGACGCUCAGGCACGAAAGCGUGGGGAGCA
This 419-nucleotide ribosomal RNA is filed under the name uncultured bacterium. RNAcentral describes it as "bacterial SSU rRNA". It matches the Rfam family "Bacterial small subunit ribosomal RNA", at positions 358 to 770 of the family's 1533-position model. The record is from RNAcentral.